GACGAACGCUGGCGGCGUGCUUAACACAUGCAAGUCGAACGGUGAAGCUCCAGCUUGCUGGCGUGGAUCAGUGGCGAACGGGUGAGUAACACGUGAGCAACCUGCCCCUGACUCUGGAAUAAGCGCUGGAAACGGCGUCUAAUACUGGAUACGAGAAGGGUCCGCAUGGGCACUUUCUGGAAAGUUUUUCGGUUGUGGAUGGUCUCGCGGCCUAUCAGCUGGUUGGGGAGGUAAUGGCGCACCACGGCGACGACGGGUAGCCGGCCUGAGAGGGCGACCGGCCACCCUAGGACUGAGACACGGCCCAGACUCCUACGGGCGGCAGCAGUGGGGAAUAUUGCACAAUGGGCGCAAGCCUGAUGCAGCGACGCCGCGUGAGGGAUGCCGGCCUUCGGGUUGUAAACAUCUUUCAGCAGGGAAGAAGCGAACGUGACGGUACCUGCAGAAGAAGCCCCGGCUAACUACGUG
Molecule: ribosomal RNA, 468 nt
Filed under: uncultured bacterium
Lineage: Bacteria
Description: partial 16S ribosomal RNA
Rfam family: Bacterial small subunit ribosomal RNA
Source: RNAcentral